UUCGACUCCUUCAUCUCCUUCAACGGAAAGUCCAGAACGAAUUACAACCUUCAAGGCUUCAACUCCUCAUCAGUAUUCUUCUUAUAGUAAUAUGAGUCCUAAAUUAAGCAAUGAGUAUGCUACUUUACUCGAUGAAAUAGAGCCUGAGGAUGAAGGUGAAAUAUUGACUAGUGGUGUUGCAUCCUUCUUUGAAGAUGGUGACUAGAAUUUAGAGAAAGAGAAAGGAAGAAGACUACAUUGAUGUUGGCUAUUUAUCUACUUGAGUUAGGAUUUUUAAUGAACAAUGGUUCUUAGUUAUUUGUUUUUUUAGCAAUUUCAGUGAACAAUGAUGUAGAACAUUCUUGGUUAUGUGGUUGUUUUGAUGGUAUUUUGGAAUAUUGGUUUGUACCGGUACUAUUUUAUGGUUUUGAUAAUUUUGGUUUGAUAUUUUGGAAUAUCA
Molecule: long non-coding RNA, 439 nt
Organism: Trifolium pratense (red clover)
Lineage: Eukaryota; Viridiplantae; Streptophyta; Magnoliopsida; Fabales; Fabaceae
Exons: 3
Source: RefSeq, a predicted model, not a curated record